RNAcentral lists this non-coding RNA (102 nucleotides) under Lysobacteraceae bacterium. RNAcentral's name for it is "Xanthomonadaceae bacterium TPP sequence". It matches the Rfam family "TPP riboswitch aptamer (THI element)". From Rfam's summary of the family: Vitamin B(1) in its active form thiamin pyrophosphate (TPP) is an essential coenzyme that is synthesised by coupling of pyrimidine and thiazole moieties in bacteria. The previously detected thiamin-regulatory element, thi box was extended, resulting in a new, highly conserved RNA secondary structure, the THI element, which is widely distributed in eubacteria and also occurs in some archaea. Lineage: Bacteria; Pseudomonadati; Pseudomonadota; Gammaproteobacteria; Lysobacterales; Lysobacteraceae. The record is from RNAcentral.
GCCCAUUCCGAGGGGAGCCCCGUACGGGGCUGAGAAAGCGUCGAGCUGACCCUUGCACCUGAUCCGGGUCAUGCCGGCGUAGGAACGGAAAACCACAUGCAG